AGGACGAACGCUGGCGGCGUGCUUAACACAUGCAAGUCGAGCGGAAAGGCCCUUCGGGGUACUCGAGCGGCGAACGGGUGAGUAACACGUGAGUAACCUGCCCCUAGCUCUGGGAUAGCUCCGGGAAACCGGGAUUAAUACCAGAUACGACCACUUUAGACAUCUGUCGUGGUGGAAAGGAUUCCGGCUAGGGAUGGGCUCGCGGCCUAUCAGCUUGUUGGUGGGGUAACGGCCUACCAAGGCGACGACGGGUAGCCGGCCUGAGAGGGCGACCGGCCACACUGGGACUGAGACACGGCCCAGACUCCUACGGAAGGCAGCAGUGGGGAAUAUUGCGCAAUGGGCGAAAGCCUGACGCAGCGACGCCGCGUGGGGGAUGAAGGCCUUCGGGUUGUAAACCCCUUUCAGCAGGGACGAAGCGAAAGUGACGGUACCUGCAGAAGAAGCGCCGGCUAACUACGCGCCAGCAGCCGC
RNAcentral lists this ribosomal RNA (474 nucleotides) under uncultured bacterium. RNAcentral's name for it is "SSU rRNA". It matches the Rfam family "Bacterial small subunit ribosomal RNA", at positions 26 to 518 of the family's 1533-position model. The record is from RNAcentral.